Molecule: transfer RNA, 77 nt
Filed under: Hyphomicrobiales bacterium
Lineage: Bacteria; Pseudomonadati; Pseudomonadota; Alphaproteobacteria; Hyphomicrobiales
Also listed under: 1 other name
Description: tRNA-Pro
Rfam family: tRNA
About the family: Transfer RNA (tRNA) molecules are approximately 80 nucleotides in length. Their secondary structure includes four short double-helical elements and three loops (D, anti-codon, and T loops).
Source: RNAcentral
CGGAGCGUAGCGCAGUCCGGUAGCGCACUACUCUGGGGGGGUAGGGGUCGCUGGUUCGAAUCCAGUCGCUCCGACCA